UAGAGCAAAACCUUGUCUCAAUCAAUCAAUAAUCAAUAUUAAACAAUAGAAUUGUUUGCUUUUUCUCCUGUUGAUCUGUCUGUUGUCAGUUCACAGCAAAUCUUCAGAGGGUAAAGGGGAAGUUUUUUAUUCACUCUUAUAGACUUGGCACAGUUGGCAAGAUAUCCAAAACUGCUCUGUUCCUCUGGAAACUGCAGUUGUGAGAGCCUAGAAUCCAAAAAGCUGACAAAAGGGUAAGAAAUUCUUACAAGUCAGCUCCUUGGAUCUGAUUCCAGCUUAUGGAGUCAGGUUGAGUGGAUGGUAAAAGUCACUCCUUGUCCCUUUCUUCUUUGCAAAUUUACAACAGUAGGAGAAAAUCAUUUGUACAGACUAGUCUUGGAUAUAGCAACUCUGGUAUAAUUUUUUGGUAUGAAUACUCACAUUGGAUGAUCUCUUUUCUCCCAGAAAUGGUCUUUGUUUUCCUUUGUUUCUGUCUUGUGUGUUGUUUGUUGUAAAAAGGACAACCUUUAUAUGGGUAGAACAUGGACCUAAAGCCCUUAUGAGCCCAUUGUUUGAGCUGUCCUUAUAGACUGAUGAGUACAUGGUUCUCACCAGACUGGCGUACAAACUUUUCUGUGGGUCCCUGAAACAAAAAACAAAUAAGAUACCUUGCUUGUCUUCCUUUGUAUCUUGAGAGCCUGGCUUUGUGAACAAGUGGCAACCACUCUUUCUUGUUCGUUGCCAGCUGGGAAGUACAAUUGUCAGGUUCUGCCAAGUGGCCAGUCUGAAAAGACUGGGAACCCAAGACACAAAAUGCUAUUAAGCAACAUUCUCUUUGUCGAAAUGUGCCAAGCUCCUAGGGAAGUUUGUCUUAAUAAAUUCCAUCCAUAAGGGGCUUUUGUCAUCUCUACCUCUGUUGUCUUGUUAGUGCUGGGAAAGUCCAAUCCUAGAUGUGCCUAUCCAGUGUCACAGAUUAGUAGGUCUGUGACAAAUGGCAUUCCACAUUUUUUUGGAGAACUGGAGACAUUUGCAAAUAUUAUUCUUAACUACCUGUGCCAACACAGGUCUGUACACUAUCUUAAUCUAUUUUUGAAAGUGAAUUUUGAGGGAUCAUAAGGGCUGCAUCUUCUUCACCUUCCUUGGGAAUGCCUCUUGCUUUCAUGCUAAAAAUUUAUUCUAAACAUAGAAAAUUACUUCCUGGUCUUUCCAUGAAGAGGCUACUAAAUUGAGCUGCUACUGGAAUAAAUACACCAUUAGAGAUCCUAACUGUCAAUGACCAGAUCAUGAAUUCUUUGAAUUGAAAUGACUUCUAUAUUUGAAAUAUGUUCCCCUCCAUUUAGUGAUCAGCAAAUGAAAAAUUACUGAGGAAGAAUAUCAGAGUUCUGACUGUCACAUGAAGAACCUAAUGAGAUUUUUGAUAACCCUGGGACACCUUGAAGAACACACAAAAGGCACCACUGACGCCCCACUUUUGGGGUCCUCUAUUUUCCUUAUGGAGCUCCAAAAGUCAUGGGUGGUAUUCCUCUCAGAUCUGAUGUUUUACUCUUUUGCAUUAAACUCCCUGAUCUCUGGCUUUUGGGGAUAUCAAGGGUUACUUUAGAGUAAAUAUGUCCAGUUCACAUUGAAAAAUUAUUCUAUGAAAUAGCAUAUGUUUCUAAAAAUUAUAUGUAUUCAUAAAAUGUUGGCACAUGACAGUUCAAAAUUGCUUGCUUCCUAGGUUUUCACUGAAAAUUAAGGCUACUUAGAGUUAAAAAUUCUACUUAUUACAUGUAAUAAAAAUUACUAAAUAUAAAGGAAACUUUGUAUACAAAGUGUAUAAGGAAAAAAUGUGUUUUCGGUGAGGAAAGUUAUUUAAAAAGACAUGUGGAUAUGUGUUUUUGUUCAGGAAAAAAUCAAUUUUUUAUAGUUUAGAGGGCAUUAAAAGAUUAUUUCAGAAUAUAUAAGUGGAAGAUAAAACAUUAUAGACAAAAAGAAGGGAAUACAAAAAGUUGGGGGAAAAACAGAGCAAAAGAGAAUCGUAUGUGGUUAAACUAUGAUUACAUAAAUUUACUAUAACAGGUUUUAAAAUUGAGCCUUAAUAUCAAAAGUACACUGAUACAAAACUAAAAUUCUGUCUUCUCUUUUAAACAACAUUUUCAUGUAGUAUUGCCAAGAGGUAGUAAAAGAUUUUAUUUACCAUUUAAAAUGAACUGCAAAAGUGAAGUGGGGGAGAGAAAGAAACAUUAUUUGUGUCUCAUGUUGUCUUUAUUAGGUCUUUUGAUUACUUAAAGAAACCAAGUAUUCUGUCUCAAAGAGUAAAGUUUUUGUUUUUUACAGCUAUGUAACUUCCUGUAUUUGCUUUUCAAGACUUUUAAUUAUCAUUCUGGCUAAAUUAAUGGCUAUCAUUUCACAAUGAUUGAAAUAAUUUAUUAUUUUGAUCUUAUUUUGGCCCAGUAUUUUAAAUAUUUGAUAUUUGACAAACCUCUCAAAAUUCAACAUAAGCAUUUUUUUACCACAAACUAUCUUUCAGAUAUUCCAUCGGGCCUCUGGAAGUGCAACAGAGAAAUAUUAAACUAAUUAGGCUUAUUGGAAAUGUUAAAAUCAUAUUAGAAAGACUGUCAAGUGAAAAAUAAUGUUUAACUUUUUUUCACUUAAAAUUUUAUAAGUAUGUUAUUGAUGAGUGUUCAAAAAUUAUAUGAUAUUCCUAAAAAUUUAAUAUAUCAUUAGUCACAAUAUAGUAUGAUAAUCUUAUUAAAUUUUUAUAGGCCACAAAAAUAAUACAAUUUUCUUGUCAAUUACAUCAUUAUUAUAAUGAACUCCCAUCAUAUCUUCAACCUUGGUCAUUCUAAGCCUUAUUGUCCACAGUUAAUUGCUUUAUUCUGAUGCUUUUUCUGAAAGUUCUUUGCAAGCAAGUAUUAUCCUAAAGUGUUGUAUCUUCAAGGAGAUAUAUGGGAAGAAAAUGAAAAUAAUUCUGAUAAACACAGGUUUCUAAUAACUUUAAGUUCAUACCAUUGGACUGAAUUUACAGAAUGCUGAUAAAAACUGAACUUAGAAAACUGCUCACUCAACAUCAAGCAGAAUAAAGAUUAAUCAUAUGGAAUAAAACUGAUAAAAUAGUAUGUUUUUUAUGGCUUUUUUGUCAAAACAUUGCUGAUUCUUCUCAUGUUUUGUUUUCCAGAUUUAAGAAAACUUUAUUCCUUUUAGGCUAUCUACAGCUUACAGCAAUUUGGUAAAGUAUAUCUCUGUGAACAGAAUUGAAGCAUUUAUUUACUUUUUUCCUACCUAAUAUCUCCAGAAUUGAGAAACUAUUCAUGAAUACUCAUAAUAUUAUGGCAAUAUAUUUAUUUGCAUAAGUUUAAUAAGAAUCUUUUUUUUUUUUUGUAACAGGACACAAUUGGAAGCAUUGGUUAUAUAGCCACAGUUUUGACUGGAAUGUCAUGCCUUCAGACAGUUUUAAGAAACUGAGGUUGUUUUAUGAAGCCAUUAAAAAGCCCCUGGAAACACUAGCCUGGUAUCUUGAAUAAAUGAUUUACAUGGCUGCUUUACAGUGUCUUCUUUCCCUCUUCUGCCCACGCCAUUAAAGGAAUUCCUCUAGGUCAUUGCCUCAAGGAAGUGGUGUGAAAAGUGUCCAAGAGAAAGGGGAAGUCACUUUGGUUUCCAAAACCUAAGCCUCAGGAAAAAAAAAGUGAACUUUUCAUGGCAAACUCUAGAACACCACAGCUGGCAAUGACCAAACUAAGGUAGAAUCGAGGUGGUCUUGGGAAAGGAGAGGCAGAUCAUAGCAUGUGGUCUCUUGAUUCCUGAGAAUGGAAGAUGAGAAAUCUGGGCUACAGCUAUCAUGAGCAAGGUCUUUAGGAUGGAGGCAUACCCCUGAGUGACAAAGAUGAAGAGGGGGAGAAUUUCCGUCAAGAGGUCAGUCCCCAGUCAGAGAACCUAGGAGUGUAGAGGAAGAGUUUUGUUUUCCUCCCCUAUUGGAGCAAGAGAAGUAUGAGUAGCUGAUACGCUGUGAGGUGGACCACUGUGAUUAUUUAAUCCAAUAACACAGAGAGCAUCUUUCAACUGAAUCUAACAUGGGCUGGCACUACAGGGCUCCCAGGAACCAGACUCUACUGCCUACAUAAAGCUCAUAUGCCAACAUGUUGCCUUCUUUCAGCAAAGAUGAUCGGUUCUCAGAAAUCAGGAAUGUCAGAGGGUGAGAAGAUGCAAGAACUCAUAACUGCAAACUUUAAAGAGAAAUGGCCUUUCUCUUGUACUUCAGAAGUAGCCCGGGAUGAACGAGGUCUACCCUCAUGGACUACAGAUCCAAGUUCCUGGUGUUCCAAACAAUCAGUGCUGGUGCAAGAGGUACAUGCUUAACUUUGAAGAGUUUUAAGAUCAAGCUGUUAAAAAAUUGGAGAAUGGUAGUUCAGCCAUAGAUGUCACAUCAAGCUUCUUCAUGAUUUUUACCAGCAUUGUCUAAAUCCUGUAAUUGAUAUCAAAUUGCAAGACAGGAGGCCUGGCAAUAGAACCUUGCAGCUCAUCUCUCUUUAGAUGGCAUAUGGGGAAGACUGAUGGCAGCUGGAUCCUGGAAAACCACUGCACAGUGAUAUAAACAGCUGAAAGGCUGAGUAAGACCCAGAAGCUGAGCUGAGCCCUGGUUGAUGAAAGCAAGCAUCCUGGAACUCUGGCUUGCCUGCCUGUCUUAGCUGAUUGACCAGACACUUUUCGUCACCCCUCCUUUCUUUAUUUGGAAGAUGAGCAUCUCACAAGCAUGAACAAUGAGUCUCUAACAAAGCCAACAAUAAUGCAGUUUAAAAAAGGCAUACUGUAAUUGUGUCAUCUGGUCAGAUUUACUAAUGAAUGGGGAAAAAAAAGGAGAAUAGCAGAUUAGGAUUCCUGAAACUGAUCCCCGUGUUCCCCAGAAGAUGGAUUUGGACCCGCAGGACUGAAGCUCUGUCGAUGAAGAAAUCGUUGGUGCCUCUGAGCUGUCCUUCCUUGGACAUUGUCCUUGGAGCUCUGAUCCUUAUAUGAACUUGCCAUGCUGAAAAAUGGCAUCUGGCUCCACAGCAGAGCUCGCCAAAGGAGUGAGUCCUAGCUUUCAGGACAGCUUUCCUCAAAGUCAUUCUGGAUGAAGAUUCCAAAGCAUUGCUUCUUGUACUUUAAAAAAGUUUCUUUAGCCAUGGGUAGAGAGUAGAUGGAGCUGCAAAGCUGCCAAAACAGUAUUCAAGUUUCCCUCUUGGAACGGCUAGAGGAGCCAGCUUCUUAGGAGGCAGCCUGCUGCUGUGGGAGGAUACGGGGGCCCCAGCAGCACUGAAAAGUCUCUGACUACCCUGAAGUUGGAGACCGUCCCGGGGAAUCUAUGCAGUGUAAGCUCGGGCGGGCCAAAUGGCCACUCGCAACUGCCAAAGGCUGCCUGGAUCGCUAGUUCACAUAAGCUUGGGCUCAGCAGGCUAAGCUGCUGGCAUUUGUUCAGUGGGGGAAAAAUAAAAUAACUUUGUGUGGCAAGUGAUAACCCUGACAUUUCAAUGUAUUUACCACAAUGUUGUUUCCUAGAGUUGCAGAGUACAACAAAUUAGAAUUAUAAAUACCAUCCAAUUUUCCUAACAGCUCUUGUGAGUUAUUAGAGAAAAUCAAAUCACCUUAGUCAAUCAAAGGCAGCUUAAAUGCUACUAUGCUGCUCUCCCUGAAGAGCUAAAAGCACCCAUCAUUCCUAUGUAGUGGUACAACUCCUUCAGUAUGGUAGAGACUAAACACUUUUGUGUAAAUAUAAAAAUAUCCAAAUCAAGUCUACAAAAUACUGCACUGAAACAUGGUUACGUUUCAGAGCUCGGACCUAAAAUGUGAUGCAAUACUUAAGUUUUCCCGGGAGUUCUAGGAAUGAAGAAAAGCACAUAAUUAUCCUUUAUUUUUGCUUGGAGAGUGCAUUUUUGCAUGCAUUAGUGUCACUCUGCAUGUAUGUGGGAAUUUAAAAUGGACGUGAACUCAAGACUGUACCUGAGACAUUGAAUUGGAGGCCUACGAGUGUUUUAUGAGGGGACUCUUUCUCUGUGAGAAGCCAGAUGCUCAGAAGUCUGCUGGAAGGAAAUACUUUAUUCCAGUCAGCCUUCACCUAAGCAGGAAGCAGAGAGGCCCACACUCCUCUCGAGGCCACGGGUUGUGGUAAUUGCUGAUACUUGGAUGAGCUGUCAACGUGAUAACUGUUUGUCAUGUCCCACUUAAUUGGAGCCCCAUAGAACAAUAAUGAAGUACCCUCUCCAUGCAGAUGACUUUGUGAUUGAUGACCCAGCUGAGGAAAUCAUUUACAAAUACAGGCCAAAAUUCAGCCUGGUGAUGGAUCUCAUCUGAUAUUCGCUUGGUCUUUAGAGUGUGGCUCUUUGAUUGACACUCAUGGUAUUGAGAUAACCCAAGAGAAAAAUCUUGCCUCUAGACACAACAAAGGCCCCUAAAUUGACUCUUAUUGAAAUAGGCGAAAUUUUGUUAGCUUCUUUUCAAGCUGAUUGAAGGUUUAGUGCAUAUAUAUUUUUAAUGCUGUGUGAGUGAAAAUAAUACAUUGGAAGUAAUAUCAGUUGAUUGACGUUGUAAAAAAUUGAGUUCCAUUUGCACAGGGUCAUUUCUCACUUAGAUGUUCAGAAGAGGGUGCUGGUGGCCCUAGUAGUCCUGGCAUAGUGAUGGCUCCUUUGGGAGGAGGUGUUGUAAAGGGCACAGAGGAUGUGUUGCUUUCAUAAUCAAUUUCCAUUCCCACAAGCUUUCCCAACUCCUUUCAACAAUGAAUUGAGUAACAUAACAAUACAUUUUUUUUUUUUGGUGUUCAAGGUACGCACUGUUAGAAAUAAUUGGGUUAAUUUAAAAAUUAUAAAUGAAAGAUAGAAUAUUUCAAGAAAGUGUGACCUAAUCACCUGUGGCAGUCAUUUGUAGAGAAAGAUGCUAUUAGGGCUAAGAAGGGUGAUUGAGUGCUGUUUAAAAAAAUAAUCAAGUGGGCUAGUAUUCAUCAGGGGCUGCUCUCAAUAGCUUAUUCUCAAUAAAGGCAGAGGAAUCAACUCAAACAGAGGGUUCAGUAAACAAUGAAAAGAAGAAGAAUAUCAAAUUAUUAGUGUUGUCUGUUGCAAUGUAAAGUGCAAUGCAUUUAUAUGACGCAGGCAGGCUCCUGUAUUUGUAUUUUCCCUUUAGAACCAUAUUAAAUUGAAUUAAUGUUUAUCUGUUACAUUCAGAACUUAGAAGUGUGUUCCUGAGGAUCUUGAGGAAAGAACAUAGAGCAACCAACAAUGAUGUACAGUGAUCUAUGACAUCUGAUUCAAUGACAAAGUAUAUGAACCAGAGAGUUAUUUACUUAUCUGCAGAAUGGGGAAAGUCAUACCUGUUGCAUAGAGCCAUUAAGGAGAUUACAUGGAAUCAUGUAUGCAAGAGUCUUGCACAGUGUCUGCACAUGUCUGAGGAUCCUGUCUUUCUACUUGGUGUUGCUGGUAAUGAUUUCAGUGUUCAUUAGGAGAACUGGCACUGUGAAUCAGAAACAAAGAGAAGAAACACAGGUAAGUUAAUUUGGUUCUUUCUUUAGCUUGUACCCUGAUAAGAGAUAACAUCAGGAAGGAACCAAAACUCUUAGUUAAAAUGUGGUCUUUAGGCCGGGCGCAGUGGCUCACGCCUUUAAUCCCAGCACUUUGGGUGGCUGAGGCGGGCGGAUCAUGAGGUCAAGAGA
Sapajus apella (tufted capuchin) is the source of this 7630-nucleotide long non-coding RNA. RefSeq lists it as uncharacterized. Lineage: Eukaryota; Metazoa; Chordata; Mammalia; Primates; Cebidae. The record is from RefSeq and is a predicted model, not a curated record. The transcript is spliced from 11 exons.